This 55-nucleotide transfer RNA is filed under the name Aphelenchoides besseyi. RNAcentral describes it as "tRNA-Gly". The record is from RNAcentral. Lineage: Eukaryota; Metazoa; Nematoda; Chromadorea; Rhabditida; Aphelenchoididae.
AAUUUCUUAUUAUAAAUAGUAUAUUAAUCUUCCAAAUUAAAGGUUUAAGAGAUUA